Molecule: ribosomal RNA, 126 nt
Filed under: Prolemur simus (greater bamboo lemur)
Lineage: Eukaryota; Metazoa; Chordata; Mammalia; Primates; Lemuridae
Source: RNAcentral
GUCUACAGCCAUACCACACUGAAUGAGCCCAAUCUUAUAUGAUCUCAGAAGCUAAGCAAGGUCAGGCCUGGUUAGAAGUUGGACAGGAGAAAAGGUAGGAGAACUGGCUUUCCUGAUGUCGAGAUA